AGUGAACGCUGGCGGCGUGCCUAAUACAUGCAAGUCGAACGGAAUUUAAAAGAGCUUGCUCUUUUAAAUUUAGUGGCGCACGGGUGAGUAAUAUAUAGCUAAUCUGCCCCUUGCUGGAGGACAACAGUUAGAAAUGACUGCUAAUACUCCAUACUCCUUUUUACCAUAAGAUAAAUCGGGAAAGAAUUUCGGCAAGGGAUGAGACUAUAUCGUAUCAGCUAGUCGGUGGGGUAACGGCCUACCGAGGCUAUGACGCGUAACUGGUCUGAGAGGAUGAUCAGUCACAUUGGAACUGAGACACGGUCCAAACUCCUACGGGAGGCAGCAGUAGGGAAUAUUGCGCAAUGGGGGAAACCCUGACGCAGCAACGCCGCGUGGAGGAUGACACUUUUCGGAGCGUAAACUCCUUUUGUUAGGGAAG
RNAcentral lists this ribosomal RNA (421 nucleotides) under Campylobacter gracilis. RNAcentral's name for it is "bacterial SSU rRNA". It matches the Rfam family "Bacterial small subunit ribosomal RNA", at positions 29 to 447 of the family's 1533-position model. The record is from RNAcentral. Lineage: Bacteria; Pseudomonadati; Campylobacterota; Epsilonproteobacteria; Campylobacterales; Campylobacteraceae.